Molecule: ribosomal RNA, 465 nt
Filed under: uncultured bacterium
Lineage: Bacteria
Description: partial 16S ribosomal RNA
Rfam family: Bacterial small subunit ribosomal RNA
Source: RNAcentral
GACGAACGCUGGCGGCGUGCUUAACACAUGCAGGUCGAGCGGUAAGGCCCCUUCGGGGGUACACGAGCGGCGAACGGGUGAGUAACACGUGAGCAAUCUGCCCAUCACAUCGGGAUAACUCCGGGAAACCGAAGCUAAUACCGAAUACGACCACCUCCGGCAUCGGCUGGUGGUGGAAAGUUCCGGCGGUGAUGGAUGAGCUCGCGGCCUAUCAGCUUGUUGGUGGGGUAACGGCACACCAAGGCUUCGACGGGUAGCCGGCCUGAGAGGGUGACCGGCCACACUGGGACUGAGACACGGCCCAGACUCCUACGGGAGGCAGCAGUGGGGAAUAUUGGACAAUGGGCGAAAGCCUGAUCCAGCAACGCCGCGUGAGGGAUGACGGCCUUCGGGUUGUAAACCUCUUUCAGCAGGGACGAAGCGCAAGUGACGGUACCUGCAGAAGAAGCACCGGCCAACUACGUG